AAUUCAGAUAAUUAUUACAUGAGUUCUUAGAGGAAUAGAAGAGAACGAAGCUUUUUUUUUUUUAAUGCAAAAGGGCAUUUUUUAUUUGUUGUUUACCUGAAGCACUCAAUGUGUCUUUGUCAUGAUUAAUUUUUAAGACCUGUAUCAUGUUUUAAAAUUACAACACAGUCCAGUUUUAAGCCUAUGAUGUCUCAAAAUUGAAGAGAAAAAAAUAACCUAUGAAAUUCUUCUGAUAUCUUUAUAUACAAGUUCAAGAAUAAUUAAGUAUCUGUCACUCUCUCUUCUCCAGCAUCAAUUACUCUGCUCUGGAUUUACUUACUCCACUCCGUAUAAUGAGCCCCCAGAGCACAUUUCAUUGCAGGGGAAAGCACACAUUCUUCACUUGAGGAGCUUUUGUUCUCUGAGCGCUUUCCGUAGAGUUCUGGAGGACAGGAAUACAAAUGGCGGCCUCCUGGUCUCCACCCGGAGGAGCCAAGAGCCCGGGACCCCACUCCUCAGUGCGCCCUCAGAGAACAGCGCCCAGUAACUCCCGUCUGCCUGACCUCCAGCCGCGCUCCGAGCUCGCUGAGCCUGUGGCUGGUUCAAGGUAACCCCGAGCUGCAAGCUUAUUGUUGGCUCUGUCUCUGUUGCUUUUCUGUUUCCAGAAUUGCUGUUCUCUUCUCUUUGAUAUGCCGAUGGAUUUUCAGGUGUUUGCAAUCUUUAGAUAAGCUAUCUAGCUGAUCUCCUGCUAGCUGAAGUAGUCUCAGCCUGCUACUUCUCCCUCAAUCUAGAAUUCUUAUUAUUUACAUUGUUCCUGUCAUUGUUCAUAUUGUAUCUUUUGAAAUCCUAUUUGCAAAGAGCUUUAAAUGCCACAUCCUUCCUAAAUUUUUUUUUUUUUUUUUGCUUUCUCUCCGUUGGACAUAAUUAGCACAUUAGAUCACUUACCACUUUGUGUUGAGAAAUCCACUCUGUGCCUUUCUGUUGGGUGAUAUAUAACACUUCCUAUCCUGUAUAAUAGUUGUUUUUAACCUUGGCUUUUCUACUUUAUUGAGUUGUAAUCUCUUUGAGUACAAAGGACACGUACUAUUCCACUCUGUGCCCCUUUUAGCCACUGAUGAU
RNAcentral lists this long non-coding RNA (1098 nucleotides) under Mustela putorius furo (domestic ferret). RNAcentral describes it as "lncRNA (ENSMPUG00000029891.1)". Lineage: Eukaryota; Metazoa; Chordata; Mammalia; Carnivora; Mustelidae. The record is from RNAcentral.